This 379-nucleotide unclassified non-coding RNA is filed under the name uncultured Oligoflexales bacterium. RNAcentral describes it as "contains 16S-23S intergenic spacer region". Lineage: Bacteria; Pseudomonadati; Bdellovibrionota; Oligoflexia; Oligoflexales. The record is from RNAcentral.
UCCGUGUUCACCACGGCAGUCUCCCUAGAGAGCCCAACUGAAUGCUGGCAACUAAGGACAAGGGUUGCGCUCGUUGCGGGACUUAACCCAACAGGUCACCCCACGAGCUGACGACAGCCAUGCAGCACCUGUGUCCCUGUCGUAUUGCUACGAAAGCCGUAUCUCUACGGUUGUCAGGGCAUGUCAAACCCAGGUAAGGUUUUUCGCGUUGCUUCGAAUUAAACCACAUGAUCCACCGCUUGUGCGGGCCCCCGUCAAUUCCUUUGAGUUUUAGUCUUGCGACCGUACUUCCCAGGCGGGGUACUUAGUGCGUUAGCGCCGGUUCAGCGGGGGUCAAGACCCACCAAACCUAGUACCCAUCGUUUACAGCGUGGACUAC